AAUCAUGAGCGCCAACACCAAGCCCUGGCUGGUUGGCCGGCAACCCUCUCGCCGUAGCGGGGUGCUCCAGGUGAUGAUUCGGCCCGCUGGCCACCUGGCCUGCGGAGCAAGUACCGCGC
RNAcentral lists this non-coding RNA (119 nucleotides) under Crystallibacter crystallopoietes. RNAcentral describes it as "Arthrobacter crystallopoietes SAM-IV sequence". It matches the Rfam family "SAM (S-adenosyl methionine) riboswitch aptamer". Rfam says of the family: SAM-IV is a mRNA element that regulates gene expression via direct sensing of S-adenosylmethionine (SAM or AdoMet). SAM-IV riboswitches share conserved nucleotide positions with the previously described SAM-I riboswitches sequence analysis and molecular recognition experiments suggest that SAM-I and SAM-IV riboswitches share similar ligand binding sites, but have different scaffolds. Lineage: Bacteria; Bacillati; Actinomycetota; Actinomycetes; Micrococcales; Micrococcaceae. The record is from RNAcentral. RNAcentral also lists the same sequence under 1 other name.